UGGGGAAUAUUGCACAAUGGGCGCAAGCCUGAUGCAGCGACGCCGCGUGAAGGAUGAAGGUCUUCGGAUUGUAAACUUCUAUCAGCAGGGAAGAAUAAAUGACGGUACCUGACUAAGAAGCUCCGGCUAACUACGUGCCAGCAGCCGCGGUAAUACGUAGGGAGCGAGCGUUAUCCGGAUUUACUGGGUGUAAAGGGUGCGCAGGCGGCCUGGUAAGUCAGAAGUGAAAUUUCGGGGCUCAACCCCGGAGCUGCUUCUGAAACUGCUAGGCUAGAGUGUGGGAGAGGAAAGUGGAAUUCCGAGUGUAGCGGUGAAAUGCGUAGAGAUUCGGAGGAACACCAGUAGCGAAGGCGGCUUUCUGGACCAUAACUGACGCUCAGGCACGAAAGCGUGGGGAGCAAACAGG
RNAcentral lists this ribosomal RNA (406 nucleotides) under uncultured prokaryote. RNAcentral describes it as "bacterial SSU rRNA". It matches the Rfam family "Bacterial small subunit ribosomal RNA", at positions 355 to 776 of the family's 1533-position model. RNAcentral also lists the same sequence under 1 other name. The record is from RNAcentral.